Molecule: ribosomal RNA, 250 nt
Filed under: uncultured bacterium
Lineage: Bacteria
Description: partial 16S ribosomal RNA
Rfam family: Bacterial small subunit ribosomal RNA
Source: RNAcentral
UACGUAGGUGGCAAGCGUUGUCCGGAUUUACUGGGCGUAAAGGGAGCGUAGGCGGAUAUUUAAGUGGGAUGUGAAAUACCUGGGCUUAACUUGGGUGCUGCAUUCCAAACUGGAUAUCUGGAGUGUUGGAGAGGAAAGUGGAAUUCCUAGUGUAGCGGUGAAAUGCGUAGAGAUUAGGAAGAACACCAGUGGCGAAGGCGACUUUCUGGACAAUAACUGACGCUGAGGCUCGAAAGCGUGGGGAGCAAAC